Molecule: long non-coding RNA, 1216 nt
Filed under: Sus scrofa (pig)
Lineage: Eukaryota; Metazoa; Chordata; Mammalia; Artiodactyla; Suidae
Description: lncRNA (ENSSSCG00035058858.1)
Source: RNAcentral
CUUGUCUACAUUGAACAGGUUUUCUUCAUAAUAAAAAAUAUACUACAUGUUAAAUAUUUAUUAAAGGAAAGUAGUGAGCCUGGAGGAAGGCAGGUGGGAGGGCAAAUAUAGACAGCAGGUGACAUGACUAAGCUUGCAUAUGCAGAAACCCCAUUUCCGGCUCUGCAGCAGCAAGGCCACAAGAUUGCCCAGCUCCAGCAACACUGCCAGGACCUGGCAGGUGGCAGGCAGAAUAAAAGCCAGAAUCUCACCAGUGGGAAGAGCCCCCAAGAUGCAGCCCAGACUGCCUGCUCUCCUGUGCACAAUUGCAGCCUUCAUCUGCCUUGGUCCAAGCAAGAUUGAGAGUGUCGACAUAUCUACAGAUGUGGUGUAUGAGGAAGAGGGACAAUCUGUGACCUUGGAAUGCAAGUUCACAGUCAGCUUUGCUUACUAUAUAAUGUACUGGUAUCGACAGUCUUCCAGUAGAGAAAUGACUCGCAUAAUUGAUAUUUACUCUCAAAAUAGGCGAAACAGUGAAGGGCGAUAUUCUGUGGAGUUUUACAAAGAGAGCCAAACUCUAAAGCUCACCAUCUCGAGCUUGACACUGAGUGACUCGGACGUCUAUUUCUGCGCUGUCAGAGAGGUGCACGGUGAUGGCAGUGGCAGGGAGUGCCUUACAAAAACCCCCAGGGCUCAACACCAGACAGCCACCUGCUCCAGGAGCCAAGGAGAGAACAGCCCACAGAACAGGAAGAGGGUAGACAGAGGCAUGGUAGGUGGCUCUUCGGGGUCUAGAGAGAAGGUAAUGAAUGUUCUAAAAACAAUUUUCCCACAUUUGAUAUUAAAGAAAGAGUUGUGGUUACAAGAGCAUUUUCAUCUCUGAAUCUGGUACCUAAGCACGGCUGAUCCAAGGUGUACCUCUGUCAUUUCUGCCUGCCCAACAUCCACCCCCCUUUUUGGUGACAGCACCAUGAUUUUCCCUGGAUAAACAAGCCUCCCACCCCACAACUGGGUUUGGAUGAGGCUAACCCCAACCUUGGACUCCCGACCCAUGAGUACAGUUUAUCUCUGACCACAGCCAUUGGUUUAAGGAUAGGAACAUGACCCAAGCCCACAUCCCCAAAUUUAAUAUGGAGCUAUUGAGAAUGCUGUUGGAGAUGGAAGAGGCUAGGACAUUAUUAAAAAGCCAUGAGAAGCCGAAAAUGGAGUCUUUUCCCCCCUACAAAAUCAAAUCAAG